This 253-nucleotide ribosomal RNA is filed under the name uncultured bacterium. RNAcentral describes it as "partial 16S ribosomal RNA". It matches the Rfam family "Bacterial small subunit ribosomal RNA", at positions 524 to 776 of the family's 1533-position model. The record is from RNAcentral.
UACGUAGGGGGCUAGCGUUGUCCGGAAUCAUUGGGCGUAAAGCGCGUGUAGGCGGUCCGGCAAGUCCGCUGUGAAAGUCGGGGGCUCAACCCUCGAAUGCCGGUGGAUACUGUCGGGCUAGAGUGCGGAAGAGGCGAGUGGAAUUCCUGGUGUAGCGGUGAAAUGCGCAGAUAUCAGGAGGAACACCUAUUGCGAAGGCAGCUCGCUGGGACGUAACUGACGCUGAGACGCGAAAGCGUGGGGAGCAAACAGG